RNAcentral lists this ribosomal RNA (96 nucleotides) under uncultured bacterium. Its description in RNAcentral is "partial 16S ribosomal RNA". It matches the Rfam family "Bacterial small subunit ribosomal RNA", at positions 395 to 508 of the family's 1533-position model. The record is from RNAcentral.
CGCCGCGUGCAGGACGAAGGCCUUCGGGUUGUAAACUGCUUUUAUAUGUGACGAUAAUGACGGUACCUAUAGAAGAAGCCCCGGCUAACUUCGUGC